GGAAGGUCCCCCACACUGGCACUGAGAUACGGGCCAGACUCCUACGGGAGGCAGCAGUAGGGAAUAUUGGUCAAUGGGCGCAAGCCUGAACCAGCCAUGCCGCGUGCAGGAUGAAAGCUCUCUGAGUUGUAAACUGCUUUUGUACAGGAGCAAAACAAUCCCUGCGGGGAUUCUUGAGCGUACUGUAAGAAUAAGCACCGGCUAAUUCCGUGCCAGCAGCCGCGGUAAUACGGAAGGUGCAAGCGUUAUCCGGUUUUAUUGGGUUUAAAGGGUGCGUAGGCGGCUUAUUAAGUCAGUUGUGAAAUCCUAGUGCUUAACGCUAGAACUGCAAUUGAUACUAUUAGGCUUGAGUUAAGAAUAGGUAAGUAGAAUUUAUGGUGUAGUAGUGAAAUGCUUAGAUAUCAUAAGGAAUACCAAUAGCGUAGGCAGCUUACUGGUCUUUAACUGACGCUGAGGCACGAAAGCGUGGGGAGCAAACAGGAUUAGAUACCCUGGUAGUCCACGCCGUAAACGAUGAUCACUCGAUAUACAUAAAUCUUAUGUGUGUCUAAGCGAAAGCGUUAAGUGAUCCACCUGGGGAGUAUACUCGCAAGGGUGAAACUCAAAGGAAUUGACGGGGGUCCGCACAAGCGGUGGAGUAUGUGGUUUAAUUCGAUAAUACGCGAGGAACCUUACCUGGGCUAGAAUGUAUUUUGCUACUUUGAGAAAUUAAGGGUUCCUUCGGGACAAAAUACAAGGUGCUGCAUGGCUGUCGUCAGCUCGUGCCGUGAGGUGUUGGGUUAAGUCCUAUAACGAGCGAAACCCUUUUACUUAAUUGUCAGCACAUAACGGUGGGAACUUUAAGUA
Molecule: ribosomal RNA, 846 nt
Filed under: Cardinium endosymbiont of Chionaspis heterophyllae
Lineage: Bacteria; Pseudomonadati; Bacteroidota; Cytophagia; Cytophagales; Amoebophilaceae
Description: bacterial SSU rRNA
Rfam family: Bacterial small subunit ribosomal RNA
Source: RNAcentral